UAAGUUGUGUGGCGUAGACCCGAAACCGGGUGACCUAUCCAUGUGCAGGGUGAAGCUGAAGUAAAAUUUAGUGGAGGCCCGAACCCAUAUCUGUUGAAAAAGGUUGGGAUGACAUGUGGAUAGCGGAGAAAUUCCAAUCGAACCCGGAGAUAGCUGGUUCUCCUCGAAAUAGCUUUAGGGCUAGCCUUGAGGUAAAGAGAUACGGGGGUAGAGCACUGAAUGACCUAGGGGCUUUCACCGGCUACCGAAGUCUAUCAAACUCCGAAUACCGAUAUCUUAUACUCAGGAGUCAGACUGUGUGUGAUAAGAUUCAUAGUCAAAAGGGAAACAGCCCAGACCAUCAGCUAAGGUCCCAAAAUAUAAGUUAAGUGGAAAAGGAUGUGGGAUUGCCCAGACAACUAGGAUGUUGGCUUAGAAGCAGCCAUACAUUUAAAGAGUGCGUAAUAGCUCACUAGUCGAGUGAUCCUGCGCCGAAGAUUACCGGGGCUCAAACUUAUUACCGAAGCUAUGGAAUUAGAGUAAUCUAAUUGGUAGAGGAGCAUUGUAUACGGGGCGAAGCACGAUCGUAAGGACGUGUGGACUGUAUAGAAGAGAGAAUGUUGGCAUGAGUAACGAGAGACGGGUGAGAAUCCCGUCCGCCGAAAACCCAAGGUUUCCUGAGGAAGGUUCGUCCGCUCAGGGUAAGUCAGGGCCUAAGCCGAGGACGAAAGUCGUAGGCGAUGGACAACAGGUAAAGAUUCCUGUACCACCGAGAACCGUUUGAGAGAGGGAAUGACACAGGAGGUUAUGCUAAGCGCGUGAUUGGUUGAACGCGUCCAAGCAACGAGUCUGAGAGGUAGGCAAAUCCGCCUCUU
Molecule: ribosomal RNA, 854 nt
Filed under: Fusibacter bizertensis
Lineage: Bacteria; Bacillati; Bacillota; Clostridia; Eubacteriales; Fusibacteraceae
Description: partial 23S ribosomal RNA
Rfam family: Bacterial large subunit ribosomal RNA
Source: RNAcentral